AGUCGAGCGAUGAGAUCCCUUCGGGGAAGGAUUAGCGGCGAACGGGUGAGGAACACGUGAGGAAUCUGCCUUCAACACUGGGAUAACUCCGGGAAACCGGGGCUAAUACCGGAUACGAGACCUGCAGGCAUCUGCGGGUCUGGAAAGUUUUUCGGUUGAAGAUGACCUCGCGGCCUAUCAGCUUGUUGGUGAGGUAAUGGCUCACCAAGGCGACGACGGGUAGCCGGCCUGAGAGGGCGACCGGCCACACUGGGACUGAGACACGGCCCAGACUCCUACGGGAGGCAGCAGUGGGGAAUAUUGGGCAAUGGAGGGAACUCUGACCCAGCGACGCCGCGUGCGGGAUGAAGGCCUUCGGGUUGUAAACCGCUUUCAGCAAGGAAGAAGCGAAAGUGACGGUACUUGCAGAAGAAGCACCGGCUAACUAUGUGCCAGCAGCCGCGGUAAUACAUAGGGUGCAAGCGUUGUCCGGAAUUAUUGGGCGUAAAGAGCUCGUAGGUGGUUCGUCACGUCGGAUGUGAAAAUCUGGGGCUUAACCCCAGACCUGCAUUCGAUACGGGCGAGCUAGAGUGUGGUAGGGGAGACUGGAAUUCCUGGUGUAGCGGUGGAAUGCGCAGAUAUCAGGAGGAACACCAAUGGCGAAGGCAGGUCUCUGGGCCAUUACUGACACUGAGGAGCGAAAGCGUGGGGAGCGAACAGGAUUAGAUACCCUGGUAGUCCACGCCGUAAACGGUGGGCACUAGUUGUGGGAACCUUCCACGGUUUCUGCGACGCAGCUAACGCAUUAAGUGCC
RNAcentral lists this ribosomal RNA (793 nucleotides) under actinobacterium SCGC AAA043-P11. RNAcentral's name for it is "bacterial SSU rRNA". It matches the Rfam family "Bacterial small subunit ribosomal RNA", at positions 60 to 868 of the family's 1533-position model. Lineage: Bacteria; Bacillati; Actinomycetota; Actinomycetes. The record is from RNAcentral.